GAGCAGCCCAGAGCCUGAAUCAGUGUGUGUGUUAGUGGAAGCGUCUGGAAAGGCGCGCGAUACAGGGUGACAGCCCCGUACACAAAAAUACACAUACUGUGAGCUCGAUGAGUAGGGCGGGACACGUGGUAUCCUGUCUGAAUAUGGGGGGGNNNNNNNNNNAGAGCCUGAAUCAGUGUGUGUGUUAGUGGAAGCGUCUGGAAAGGCGCGCGAUACAGGGUGACAGCCCCGUACACAAAAAUGCACAUGCUGUGAGCUCGAUGAGUAGGGCGGGACACGUGGUAUCCUGUCUGAAUAUGGGGGGACCAUCCUCCAAGGCUAAAUACUCCUGACUGACCGAUAGUGAACCAGUACCGUGAGGGAAAGGCGAAAAGAACCCCGGCGAGGGGAGUGAAAAAGAACCUGAAACCGUGUACGUACAAGCAGUGGGAGCACGCUUAGGCGUGUGACUGCGUACCUUUUGUAUAAUGGGUCAGCGACUUAUAUUCUGUAGCAAGGUUAACCGAAUAGGGGAGCCGAAGGGAAACCGAGUCUUAACUGGGCGUUAAGUUGCAGGGUAUAGACCCGAAACCCGGUGAUCUAGCCAUGGGCAGGUUGAAGGUUGGGUAACACUAACUGGAGGACCGAACCGACUAAUGUUGAAAAAUUAGCGGAUGACUUGUGGCUGGGGGUGAAAGGCCAAUCAAACCGGGAGAUAGCUGGUUCUCCCCGAAAGCUAUUUAGGUAGCGCCUCGUGAAUUCAUCUCCGGGGGUAGAGCACUGUUUCGGCAAGGGGGUCAUCCCGACUUACCAACCCGAUGCAAACUGCGAAUACCGGAGAAUGUUAUCACGGGAGACACACGGCGGGUGCUAACGUCCGUCGUGAAGAGGGAAACAACCCAGACCGCCAGCUAAGGUCCCAAAGUCAUGGUUAAGUGGGAAACGAUGUGGGAAGGCCCAGACAGCCAGGAUGUUGGCUUAGAAGCAGCCAUCAUUUAAAGAAAGCGUAAUAGCUCACUGGUCGAGUCGGCCUGCGCGGAAGAUGUAACGGGGCUAAACCAUGCACCGAAGCUGCGGCAGCGACGCUUAUGCGUUGUUGGGUAGGGGAGCGUUCUGUAAGCCUGUGAAGGUGUACUGUGAGGUAUGCUGGAGGUAUCAGAAGUGCGAAUGCUGACAUAAGUAACGAUAAAGCGGGUGAAAAGCCCGCUCGCCGGAAGACCAAGGGUUCCUGUCCAACGUUAAUCGGGGCAGGGUGAGUCGACCCCUAAGGCGAGGCCGAAAGGCGUAGUCGAUGGGAAACAGGUUAAUAUUCCUGUACUUGGUGUUACUGCGAAGGGGGGACGGAGAAGGCUAUGUUGGCCGGGCGACGGUUGUCCCGGUUUAAGCGUGUAGGCUGGUUUUCCAGGCAAAUCCGGAAAAUCAAGGCUGAGGCGUGAUGACGAGGCACUACGGUGCUGAAGCAACAAAUGCCCUGCUUCCAGGAAAAGCCUCUAAGCAUCAGGUAACAUCAAAUCGUACCCCAAACCGACACAGGUGGUCAGGUAGAGAAUACCAAGGCGCUUGAGAGAACUCGGGUGAAGGAACUAGGCAAAAUGGUGCCGUAACUUCGGGAGAAGGCACGCUGAUAUGUAGGUGAAGUCCCUCGCGGAUGGAGCUGAAAUCAGUCGAAGAUACCAGCUGGCUGCAACUGUUUAUUAAAAACACAGCACUGUGCAAACACGAAAGUGGACGUAUACGGUGUGACGCCUGCCCGGUGCCGGAAGGUUAAUUGAUGGGGUCAGCGCAAGCGAAGCUCUUGAUCGAAGCCCCGGUAAACGGCGGCCGUAACUAUAACGGUCCUAAGGUAGCGAAAUUCCUUGUCGGGUAAGUUCCGACCUGCACGAAUGGCGUAAUGAUGGCCAGGCUGUCUCCACCCGAGACUCAGUGAAAUUGAACUCGCUGUGAAGAUGCAGUGUACCCGCGGCAAGACGGAAAGACCCCGUGAACCUUUACUAUAGCUUGACACUGAACAUUGAGCCUUGAUGUGUAGGAUAGGUGGGAGGCUUGNNNNNNNNNNAGACGGAAAGACCCCGUGAACCUUUACUAUAGCUUGACACUGAACAUUGAGCCUUGAUGUGUAGGAUAGGUGGGAGGCUUUGAAGUGUGGACGCCAGUCUGCAUGGAGCCGACCUUGAAAUACCACCCUUUAAUGUUUGAUGUUCUAACGUUGACCCGUAAUCCGGGUUGCGGACAGUGUCUGGUGGGUAGUUUGACUGGGGCGGUCUCCUCCUAAAGAGUAACGGAGGAGCACGAAGGUUGGCUAAUCCUGGUCGGACAUCAGGAGGUUAGUGCAAUGGCAUAAGCCAGCUUGACUGCGAGCGUGACGGCGCGAGCAGGUGCGAAAGCAGGUCAUAGUGAUCCGGUGGUUCUGAAUGGAAGGGCCAUCGCUCAACGGAUAAAAGGUACUCCGGGGAUAACAGGCUGAUACCGCCCAAGAGUUCAUAUCGACGGCGGUGUUUGGCACCUCGAUGUCGGCUCAUCACAUCCUGGGGCUGAAGUAGGUCCCAAGGGUAUGGCUGUUCGCCAUUUAAAGUGGUACGCGAGCUGGGUUUAGAACGUCGUGAGACAGUUCGGUCCCUAUCUGCCGUGGGCGCUGGAGAACUGAGGGGGGCUGCUCCUAGUACGAGAGGACCGGAGUGGACGCAUCACUGGUGUUCGGGUUGUCAUGCCAAUGGCACUGCCCGGUAGCUAAAUGCGGAAGAGAUAAGUGCUGAAAGCAUCUAAGCACGAAACUUGCCCCGAGAUGAGUUCUCCCUGACUCCUUGA
This 2784-nucleotide ribosomal RNA is filed under the name Escherichia coli. RNAcentral's name for it is "bacterial LSU rRNA". It matches the Rfam family "Bacterial large subunit ribosomal RNA", at positions 233 to 2826 of the family's 2925-position model. The record is from RNAcentral. Lineage: Bacteria; Pseudomonadati; Pseudomonadota; Gammaproteobacteria; Enterobacterales; Enterobacteriaceae.